GGAUAAGGAAAGUAAAAAAGGGCGCAUGGCGGAUGCCUUGGCUCUCGGAGGCGAUGAAGGACGUGAUAAGCUGCGAUAAGCUUUGGGGAGGUGCAAAUGACCUUUGAUCCAGAGAUUUCCGAAUGGGACAACCCAAUAUCUUGAAGAGGUAUUAUCUUACUAUGUAAGAGGCUAACGCAGGGAACUGAAACAUCUUAGUACCUGCAGGAAAAGAAAAUAAACAAUGAUUCCCCCAGUAGUGGCGAGCGAACGGGGAACAGCCCAAACCAUCCAUGUUACGGCAUGGGUGGGGUUGUAGGACUACGCCGUUGCAUGAAGACAUCAGAGAAGAACUUUCUGGAAAGAAAGACCAUAGAGCAUGACAGUUGCGUAUUCGAAUGUUGUCGAAGCAUAGUAGUAUCCUGAGUAGCGCGGAGCACGAGGAAUUCUGCGUGAAUCUGCCGGGACCAUCCGGUAAGGCUAAAUACUCCCGAGAGACCGAUAGCGAACCAGUACCGUGAGGGAAAGGUGAAAAGCACUUCGAACAGAAGAGUGAAAUAGUUCCUGAAACCGUGCGCCUACAAGCGGUCGGAGCUCGUUAAUGAGUGACGGCGUGCCUUUUGCAUAAUGAACCUACGAGUUGCCUUUGCCGGCAAGGUUAAGUGUGACGACACACGUAUCCGAAGCGAAAGCGAGUCUGAACAGGGCGUAUAGUCGGCAGUGGCAGACGCGAAACCAAGUGAUCUACCCUUGGCCAGGUUGAAGGCUGGGUAACACCAGCUGGAGGACCGCACCAAUAAGCGUUGAAAAGCUUCUGGAUGAGCUGAGGGUAGGGGUGAAAGGCUAAUCAAACUUGGAGAUAGCUCGUACUCCCCGAAAUGCAUUUAGGUGCAGCCUUGCGGGUUACUGAUGUGAGGUAGAGCGACUGAUAAGAUGCGAGGGCUUCACCGCCUAUCAAGUCUUGACAAACUCCGAAUGCGCAUCAGUUCUACCGCAGGAGUGAGGGCAUGGGUGCUAAGGUCCGUGCCCGAGAGGAGAAGAAUCCGGACCACCUGCUAAGGUCCCGAAAUGACAGCUAAGUUAAACUAACGAAGUCUGACUGCUAAGACAGCUAGGAUGUUGGCUUGGAAGCAGCCAUUCAUUUAAAGAGUGCGUAACAGCUCACUAGUCGAGGAGUCGGGCGUGGAUAAUAAUCGGGUAUCAAGUUGUCUACCGAAGCAGUGGGAUCAUUUAUAUGAUCGGUAGGGGAGCAUUCCAGUCAGCGUCGAAGGCGUACCGUGAGGUAUUCUGGAGCGUCUGGAAAAGCAAAUGUAGGUAUAAGUAACGAUAAAGGGGGCGGGAAACCCCCUCGCCGAAAGACUAAGGUUUCCUGAUCAACGCUAAUCGGAUCAGGGUCAGUCGGGUCCUAAGGCUCAGCCGAAUGGCGAUGCCGAUGGCAGAAACGGUUAAUAUUCCGUUACUACCUUCAGGAGUGACGUGGAGACGCAGUAGUGACAGUGCCGCCAUCUGACGGAAUAGAUGGUUGAAGGGUGUAGGAGUCGAUCAUGGCAGGCAAAUCCACCAUGAGAUCCGAACCUGACAGUAUGCCGCGUCCUUCGGGACAAGGCAAUAGUGCGCGUAAGCAUGCUGCCGAGAAAAUCCGCUAAACUUAAUCCUGCAGGUACCCGUACCGCAAACGGACACACGUAGUCGGGAUGAAUAUUCUAAGGCGCUUGAGUGAUUCACGGUUAAGGAACUAGGCAAACUGACCCUGUAACUUCGGGAUAAAGGGUCCCUACCCUUUUAUGGGAGGGCGCAGAGAAUCGGUCCAGGCAACUGUUUAACAAAAACACAGGGCUGUGCCAAAUCGAAAGAUCCAGUAUACAGCCUGACACCUGCCCGGUGCUGGAAGGUUAAGAGGAGAUGUCAUCGAUAAGAGAAGCGUUGAAUUGAAGCCCCAGUAAACGGCGGCCGUAACUAUAACGGUCCUAAGGUAGCGAAAUUCCUUGUCGGGUAAGUUCCGACCUGCACGAAUGGUGUAAUGAUCUGGACGCUGUCUCAACCGUGAGCUCAGUGAAAUUGUAGUAUCGGUGAAGAUGCCGAUUACCCGCGAUGGGACGAAAAGACCCCGUGAACCUUUACUAUAGCUUAUCAUUGAAUCUGGGCACGUGAUGUGUAGGAUAGGUCGGAGGCUUUGAAGCAGGUACGCCAGUAUUUGUGGAGCCGCUGUUGAAAUACGACCCUUUAUUUGUUUGGAUUCUAACCCGUGGAUACGGGGACAUUGAUUGGUGGGUAGUUUGACUGGGGUGGUCGCCUCCAAAAGCGUAACGGAGGCUUCUAAAGGUGCCCUCCGGCCGAUUGGUAACCGGCCUUAGAGUGUAAUGGCAUAAGGGCGCUUGACUGGGAGACUAACAAGUCGAUCAGGUAGGAAACUAGAGCAUAGUGAUCCGGUGUUUCCGUAUGGAAGGGACAUCGCUCAAAGGAUAAAAGGUACUCCGGGGAUAACAGGCUGAUCCCUCCCAAGAGCUCAUAUCGACGGAGUGGUUUGGCACCUCGAUGUCGGCUCGUCACAUCCUGGGGCUGGAGAAGGUCCCAAGGGUUGGGCUGUUCGCCCAUUAAAGUGGCACGCGAGCUGGGUUCAGAACGUCGUGAGACAGUUCGGUCUCUAUCUAUCGUGGGCGUAUGAAAUUUGCGUGGCUCUGACACUAGUACGAGAGGACCGUGUUGGACAGACCUCUGGUUUGCCGGUUGUGCCGCCAGGUGCAUUGCCGGGUAUCUAAGUCUGGAUCGGAUAAGUGCUGAAAGCAUCUAAGUACGAAGCCGGCCACAAGAUUAGAUUUCUCAGGGUCGUUGUAGACUACGACGUUGAUAGGAUGCAGGUGUAAAGGUAGAGAUACCAAAGCCGAGCAUUACUAAUUGCCCGUUCACUUUCUUUA
RNAcentral lists this ribosomal RNA (2894 nucleotides) under Phocaeicola vulgatus. RNAcentral's name for it is "23S ribosomal RNA". It matches the Rfam family "Bacterial large subunit ribosomal RNA". The record is from RNAcentral. Lineage: Bacteria; Pseudomonadati; Bacteroidota; Bacteroidia; Bacteroidales; Bacteroidaceae.